CGAAUUGGAGAAUCGACACCCAAGGACUUCCCUAAUUUGAGAAUCAAUUUCAUGGGCAAGCCACUUGUUUUCCUUGAAAAAAAGGAUUUUAGGGAUUCGAGUAUCAAAGCCCCAAGCAAUUUCUCUGUUCGUGCACAAGCUUCGAUCUGUGUGAUCAGAGCUCUCAGAUGGUGGGAGAAGACCCUUAAACCCNUCAAUCUCUUUUCAUUAGCAUUUCUGGGUUCAAAACUGAUGCUCCAACUUUUUUUUUUCAG
This 254-nucleotide unclassified non-coding RNA is filed under the name Hevea brasiliensis (rubber tree). Lineage: Eukaryota; Viridiplantae; Streptophyta; Magnoliopsida; Malpighiales; Euphorbiaceae. The record is from RNAcentral.